RNAcentral lists this ribosomal RNA (446 nucleotides) under uncultured bacterium. RNAcentral describes it as "partial 16S ribosomal RNA". It matches the Rfam family "Bacterial small subunit ribosomal RNA", at positions 354 to 796 of the family's 1533-position model. The record is from RNAcentral.
GUGAGGAAUAUUGCGCAAUGGAGGCAACUCUGACGCAGCCAUGCCGCGUGCAGGAAGAAGGCGCUACGCGUUGUAAACUGCUUUUAACCGGGAAGAAACCCCAGGACGUGUCCUGGGUUGACGGUACCGGAGGAAUAAGCACCGGCUAACUUCGUGCCAGCAGCCGCGGUAAUACGAAGGGUGCAAGCGUUAUCCGGAUUCAUUGGGUUUAAAGGGUGCGUAGGCGGAGCGUUAAGUCAGUGGUGAAAUCCUGCAGCUUAACUGUAGACUUGCCAUGGAUACUGGCGCUCUUGAGUGCGCUUGAAGUGGGCGGAAUGUGCCGUGUAGCGGUGAAAUGCUUAGAUAUGGCACAGAACACCAAUUGCGAAGGCAGCUCACUAAGGCGAUACUGACGCUGAGGCACGAAAGCGUGGGGAUCGAACAGGAUUAGAAACCCGUUGUAGUCC